Molecule: long non-coding RNA, 838 nt
Filed under: Phascolarctos cinereus (koala)
Lineage: Eukaryota; Metazoa; Chordata; Mammalia; Diprotodontia; Phascolarctidae
Description: lncRNA (ENSPCIG00000034638.1)
Source: RNAcentral
GAAAUUUAACCUUUUUUAAUGAUUGCUGGAGAUGUCCAUAAACAAUAAGUCCUGUGGUUUUCUGCAUUUUUAGGUUUCCAACUCAGAUGUCUGUACUGACUUGAUGUCCUAAGACUGAAGAAGGCUGCAGCUUUGAAGUCUAAUGUCUGAUAUAUUUGAAAUAGUCUUAAUUUUGUGGGGGAAAGGGCUACUAUCAAGGUUAUUGAUGAAAAUACCAGCACUUACCUUUCUGGUAAGAAAUGUAGGUGCCUUACUGCUUCUUCUGUUUUGCAUGUGAAUGUAAUGUAAAAUUUGCAUGUAAGGAAGAAAACUUCGAAACGAUUCAUUUUAUUUUCCAGUCUGAGUCAGAGUGGAUUUGUGAUCUAGGGUUUUCUUUUUCUUUUCUGGUUUUAAAUAGUUAUAGGAAAGCUCAUCUCUUCAAAGUAAUGCUAGAUUAAGGGAGCUCCCUUAAAAAGUUAAAGAUCUUCUUUUAUUAAAAUAACUUAUUUUUGAUUAGACUAUUUUGACAUAUAUAUAUAUAUAUGUGUGUAUAUAUAUAUAUAUAUAUAUAUAUAUAUAUAUACAUAUAUUUAUUUAUUUUUUUUUUGGGGGGGCAAUUGGGGUUAAGUGACUUACCCAGGGUCACACAGCUAGUAAGUGUCAAAUGUUUGAUCUGAGGUCUGAGACUCAGGUCCUCCUGACUUCAGGGCCAGUACUCUAUCCACUGUGCCACCUAGCUUCCCCUUGAUGUAGUUUACUUGUGUAAUUUGAUAACAAAGUUAUCAUGAGUUUUAAUUUUCUUUUGGGAGUUUUAACAUUGCUGGCAAGUCUCUAAGUUUUAGUGUUAUUUAAAAAAAAA